GCGGCGGCGGCCAUCUUGGAAGAGGGCAAAAAGCCGCUUUGGCGCGCCCGCCUGGAGAACCUGCAGAGCGUGGAGGGGAGAGGCCGCAGGGAACGAGGUUGGGAAGGUGUAACCGCACCCCAGACUGAUGACAGUGACCAUGACUGCACACAGGGUGUGACAGCGCACUCAGGCGUACCCAGGUUCCUGGAAGGCUAGUGAUCACUCUUGACCAGUGAGUAGAAGCUUCACGUGCAGUUUCAGGCUAUCGUCUUCUCCAAUAGGUUGUUUUUGAAUGACAGUGACAGCCCUCGUUCACUGAGCACACCUGUGUGUCCAAUCAGGGCAUUUAACUUCUCUUCCCCCAAGACAGCUGGGCACGGAGGUGGAAGAAAGCAAAGAGUACCAUUCCCUCUUCUGCUGCCUGCAGUGACAGGUGUCCCAUGAGAGGGGACUGUUUUCAAAGACCCAGCUCCCCAAGGGAUAAGGCUCAUGCUUGACCCCGAGAGGGUGAGAGGAGUCUCACCCAGCCUUGGUUAGUGACACAAAGCCCCACCUUGGCCCGGCCUUAGGUUCGAAGCGAUGGGAUCAGGGGCCACUGCAAACUGCCUUUGACGCACCUGCCCUCACCCUGACAGGUGGGGAGCAUGCUCAGUUGUGCCCAGGACGAUUUCUAAAGAAGGAAACUGUCCAUGGUCCACAGUUCCCCAAUAGCCCUAAUGCGCCACACCCUACCCCCAGUAGUGGCCACAUGACUUGCUUUGGCCAAUGGAACAUUGGUAAGAAUGACACAAGCGAAGGCCUCAAAAGCCAUGCACAGGGACAUGUCCUGUUGGGAUGUCGCCUCCCGGAAGCCAGCAGACGCGAAGCUCUUAGAGGCUCAGGCAAGCCUGCAGAAUGACCAGAGACCCUCAGGAAUGAGAAGUUCCAGCCCCAGCUGAACGAAUGUCCCAGCAGCCACACGAGUGACCGCAGCUGUCUCCGUGGAGCAGAACUUCCCAGGAGAGCCCAGUCAACCCCCAGAACUAAGAGACAUAAUGCACCGCCGUUGUUUUAGGCAGCUCCAUUUUAAGGCCAUCUACUGUGCAUCAAUAAAUAACUGAAGCAGUGA
This is a long non-coding RNA of Microcebus murinus (gray mouse lemur), 1090 nucleotides long. RefSeq lists it as uncharacterized. The record is from RefSeq and is a predicted model, not a curated record. NCBI's taxonomy places the organism in Eukaryota, Metazoa, Chordata, Mammalia, Primates, Cheirogaleidae.